GGGUGUGUAGCUCAGUGGUAGAGUGGCUGACUGCAUAUCUGCAGGUCCGCGGUUCAAAUCCGGGCGCGCUCU
Molecule: transfer RNA, 72 nt
Filed under: Perkinsus olseni
Lineage: Eukaryota; Perkinsozoa; Perkinsida; Perkinsidae
Description: tRNA-Cys
Rfam family: tRNA
About the family: Transfer RNA (tRNA) molecules are approximately 80 nucleotides in length. Their secondary structure includes four short double-helical elements and three loops (D, anti-codon, and T loops).
Source: RNAcentral